GAUGAACGCUGGCGGCGUGCCUAAUACAUGCAAGUCGAGCGAAUGGAUUAAGAGCUUGCUCUUAUGAAGUUAGCGGCGGACGGGUGAGUAACACGUGGGUAACCUGCCCAUAAGACUGGGAUAACUCCGGGAAACCGGGGCUAAUACCGGAUAAUAUUUUGAACUGCAUGGUUCAAAAUAGAAAGGUGGCUUCGGCUGUCGCUUUUGGAUGGACCCGCGUCGCAUUAGAUAGUUGGUGAGGUAACGGCUAACCAAGGCAACGAUGCGUAGCCGACCAGAGAGGGUGAUCGGCCAAACUGGGACUGAGACACGGCCCAGACUCCUACGGGAGGCAGCAGUAGGGAAUCUUCCGCAAUGGACGAAAGUCUGACGGAGCAACGCCGCGUGAGUGAUGAAGGCUUUCGGGUCGUAAAACUCUGUUGUUAGGGAAGAACAAGUGCUAGUUGAAUAAGCUGGCACCUUGACGGUACCUAACCAGAAAGCCACGGCUAACUACGUGCCAGCAGCCGCCGUAA
This 515-nucleotide ribosomal RNA is filed under the name uncultured bacterium. RNAcentral describes it as "partial 16S ribosomal RNA". It matches the Rfam family "Bacterial small subunit ribosomal RNA", at positions 28 to 523 of the family's 1533-position model. The record is from RNAcentral.